AAACUUCCAACAACGGAUCUCUUGGUUCCAGCAUCGAUGAAGAACGCAGCGAAAUGCGAUAACUAAUGUGAAUUGCAGAAUUUAGUGAAUCAUCGAGUCUUUGAACGCACAUUGCGCCCCUCGGUAUUCCGGGGGGCAUGCCUGUUCGAGCGUCAUUA
This 158-nucleotide ribosomal RNA is filed under the name Raesaenenia huuskonenii. RNAcentral describes it as "Phacopsis huuskonenii 5.8S ribosomal RNA". It matches the Rfam family "5.8S ribosomal RNA". Rfam says of the family: 5.8S ribosomal RNA (5.8S rRNA) is a component of the large subunit of the eukaryotic ribosome. It is transcribed by RNA polymerase I as part of the 45S precursor that also contains 18S and 28S rRNA. Functionally, it is thought that 5.8S rRNA may be involved in ribosome translocation. Lineage: Eukaryota; Fungi; Ascomycota; Lecanoromycetes; Lecanorales; Parmeliaceae. The record is from RNAcentral.